Non-coding RNA from Trichonephila inaurata madagascariensis, 73 nucleotides. The record is from the annotation of a GenBank genome assembly. Lineage: Eukaryota; Metazoa; Arthropoda; Arachnida; Araneae; Nephilidae.
GUUUCUGUAGCGCAAUAUACAGCGCGUUGGACUUCUAAUCCAAAAAUCGUGGGUUCAAAUUCCACCUGGGAUG